This is a long non-coding RNA of Carassius auratus (goldfish), 5310 nucleotides long. NCBI's taxonomy places the organism in Eukaryota, Metazoa, Chordata, Actinopteri, Cypriniformes, Cyprinidae. The record is from Ensembl.
AUGUUAAUGGAUAGCAGAGAACUGGAAGUUUUUAGAAUAAAGAACAAAGAAGAGAAAAAACAUGAAUCCAUAAGAAACAGAUCUGAGUUCAUCUUUGAUAAUGGGACUCUGAUAAUAAACCGUGUGAUCAGAGCAGAUUCAGGAAAUUACAGAUUAGAGUUCUAUCACUCGGAUGGCUCAAGAACAUUUAAAAAGCAUCUACUUAUUAAUAUAGAAGCUCCUAUUGGCUCAGUGGAAGUGACAAUCAACUGCUCCUCCAAUCAGAGGUCAGUGUUCUGCUCAUCUGACGGGGAUCAGCUCCUUUACAACUGGACUCUGAAUGGAGAAAUACUAGAACAAGGACCAAUGAAUGGAAACACCACCAUUCAGCUAAAUGAGGGAACUGAUGGAGACAUCAGCUGCAGUGUGAAGAACCACUUCAGUCACGCACAGAAGACCAUUAGACUCAAACCCUGUCCUGGUCCAGUUCGGUUCUGCAGUUUUAAUCAAACAGAUCCCUGUUACACAGCUCUGGGAGACAAACUCCAUCUGCCGAUGGUGCUGAAUGCUAUAGAAUAUGACCUGAAGAUACGUAAGAAGAUAUACAACACUCAAGAUGAUCCAGUUUGUAGAGUAAAACAAGGCAGGAUAAAGGAAUGUGAUCUUAAUAAUAACAGAACUGAAUUGACAGUCAUUAAUGGGACUCUGAUAAUAAAUCGUGUGAUCAGAGCAGAUUCUGGGAAUUACACAUUAACACUCUCUCACUCUGACGGAACAGAAACAUCUAGAGAUCUUCAAGUGAUUGUUGAAGCUCCUAUUGGCUCAGUAAAUGUGUCAAUCAUCUGCUCCUCCAGUGGGGUGAUGAGGGUGUCCUGCUCCUCUGAGGGGGAUCAGCUCCUCUACAACUGGACUCUGAAUGGAGGUCCACUGAUGGAUGGAAACAGCAGCAUUGAUCUGGAUGAGAGAACUGAUGGAGACAUCAGCUGCAGCGUGAAGAACCACGUCAGUCACGCACAGAAGACCAUUAGACUCAAACCCUGUCCUGGACCAACUUCUGCAGCUGUGACACCAACACCAGAAUCUGUGUGUUCAGUGUCUGUGGUGUUUGUUCUGGUCUGGGGUUUCCAGCUGAUGGUUCUGUUCGGUCUGUUAGGAGCUUUUCACAUCUACAUGAGACACACGUCAGGUGAGAGACAUUCAUCAUCAUCAUUAGAGAUUUGACAUGGAAAUAUUAAGAGUGUGAAUAUAAUAAUGAUGUGUUGCUUUUAGGAAAGAAAGAGGAAGAUGAGAAAGUGAGAAUGAGAAGAUUUAGAGAGAGACAUGAACACACAGCAGAAGAUUCAUGAGAGCAGCAGCAGAUCUUCACAUCUGUGAGAAAUGACUUCAGAAUCAGUCCAGCUUUCACCUGCUGAAUAAAACCAGGAGACAGAAGAAGCUUUCAUGAUAGACAAUGGUCUUUACAUGUGUUUAUUUCUUGAACACUUUUUUUGUAUCAGUUUUAUUCAUAUAAUUAUUUUGUAUUCGGUCUUUAUGCUUUCAAUGACUAGAAGUAUUUUAUUACAUUGAAUUAAACUCCUUCUGUUCAUCUGUGAUCAAAUUCUUUUAUUUCUCUGAAUCAGAUCUGUCAGAUUGUGAACUCAUUCUGUGUGUUUUUUCUGUUCUUUCUCUUUUAAUUUAUUCUUGAUUUGGUUGAUUUCUCUUUAUGUUCAGUGUCUGUUGAGGUGUUUUAUCUGUUUGAAGCUCUUCAUCCGUGUCUCAGUUUUGCAGCGUCUGGUGUUUUCUGACUCUGGUUUUGCUUGAAUCUGCAGGUUUUUUUACAUUCAUUUUAACACAUUUAACCACAUAUGUGCAUUUAACUUCACAAUAUAUUUGUGUCAUUAUAGAGUAAUGAUAAACAUGUCAUUCUUUUAGAAACUGUAAUUGAUGUCAUUGUUUAUUUUGUUAUGCUUUACUUUGAGUUAUAUUAAAAUAAAAUGCUUUGAAAUGAAAUGUAAAUAUACAUUCAAUUAACAUGUUAUCUAUCAGCAUGAUUCCACGGUUGAUAUUUAUUUUAGACUAUUCAUGAUAACUUCUAGCUAGUUGUCUUGGUCAAAUCUUAUGUAACAACAUUAGACAGAUUCAUUUCAGCAACAAUCUGAAAUCUGACCCGACAGAUCAGAAUAUCGAUUAUUUACAGACUUAGAGCAGUAAAACACAAUAUCAAAUGCACUAAAACAGCAUUAUUUAAUGAUGAAUUAAAUUCUUUGUUGACUAUUAAUGAAUAAUUAGUUGAUGGUAACUGAAAAGCAUCAGUAAUGUGUCUUUAAUUAGCAGUUAAGUUCAGAUAAAUCAGAUGAAGCUCAUUUUAAGCGUGAUGUUGUGAGUGAAAUGAAAGCAGCUGUAGUUGUAGUUUCCUCCUGCAGGUGUCGCUCUCUACAUGAGCAGCUCGGAGCAGAUAUAAACUCAAUGUCCCAUGAGUCUCAGCUGCAGCAGACAGAAGAUUGAAGCUCACAAUCCUCUCUUCAUUCACACAUCAACUGAUGGAUCCGAGUCAAACAUCAUCACACACAGUCUGCUGGAAACACCACAUAUAGACCUGAUUCUGCUUUACUCUCAAUAAACAUGUCUACAGCAUCUCAUCAGUCAACUAAAGACACUGUUUCAGUGGAUUUAAAGGAGAAUCGUUAAAGCGUAUUUCAUAAUAAUAGAAAUUUAAAAUCAUUAAUAAACAACCAUAAGAAAACGUGUUGCUUCCAAAAACAAGAUUUUUUUUUAACUUUGUGACUGAAAAAGGUUCCUUCUUUCUCUUAGUUUCAUUUGUUUUGGAUAAAUUGUGAUGCAAACUAGCAGGAUGAGUAUUCCCCCAUAGCCUGUAGUGAUGGGUCAUUCUUGAAUGAUUCGUUCAUUUUGAACAAAUCAUUAAUGUGACUUGGAAAGAACGAGUCGUCUCGGAGAGUGAUUCUUUCAGUCGCACAUGCACAAAACUUUAUAGGUUCUUUACUGGAAUUAGUUCACCUCUUUCAGUCAAUGUAGUUUGAGCCAAAAAAAAAAAGAGAUUGUUGUCACUGCACUUCCUGGCCAGGUGGCUCACCUUUUGUGCCUCAAUGUCAUCCACAAACUUAAUGAAGAGAUUGGAGUUGUGUGAUGGUGUGUAGUCGUGGGUCAGCAGAGUGAAGAGGAGGGGGCUCAGCACACAUCCUUGAGGGGCCCCAGUGUUCAGUGUGAUGGUGCUGGAUGUGUUGUUGCCGACCCGUACUGCCUGAGGUCUUCCAGUCAGAAAGUCCAACAGCCAGUUGCACAGUGAAGUGUUGAGCCCCAGCUGAAUCAGUUUGUAGAUGAGCUGUUGAGGGAUGAUUGUGUUGAAUGCUGAACUGAAGUCUAUGGACAGUAUUCUGACAUAUGAGUCCUUUUGUCCAGUUAUGUGAGUGCUGAGUGGAGGGUAGUGGUGAUGGCAUCAUCGGUUGAGCGGUUGGACCGAUAUGCAAACUGGAAGGGGUCAUUGAAGGGGUCAAGUGGGGUCAAGUAGAUGGUAGUCAUUGAAGCAGGAUAGAGACAGCUUCUUUGGGACUGGAAUGAUGGUGGUAGCUUUGAAGCAUGUGUGAACAACAACCUGACUAAGCAAGAUGUUGAAAAUGUUUGUGAGGACAUCAGUGAGAUCCACUGCACAGUCUCUCAGUAAACACAGGAAUGCUGUCAGGACCUGGAGCUUUGCAGGCAUUGAUCACACUGUCUGGGGUCAGCGUCAUCACCUGGUCACCGGGAGGAGGUGGAGAGCUGUUUUGUGCCUCAAAGUGAGCAAAGAAGGCAUUCAGCUUGUUCAGCAGGGAGAUAGUGCCGUCACAGGUCUGUGGUAAGGGCUUGUAGUCCAUAAUGGUCUGUAUCCCUUGCCACAGGCUCUGAGUGUCUCUGCUGUCUCUGAAACGAUAAGCUAUCCUCCUUGAAUACUGUCUCUUAGCACCUCUGAUGCAUGCCACUGGAGGUUGCUGUCCCCGGACCCACUUCAUCUCCAGCUCCUCAGGCCUACCUGAUUCCAGAGGCUGCACUGAGUGUGUGCGGAGAGGAAUUGGAUGGGGGCUGCAAUGAAGACAUAGGCAGAGAGAGGCUAGGAAUAGAGCUGACCAGAAUCCCAGAGAGGCAGGCAGGUAUGAAGGAGGAAUGACAAAAACAGGAACACCAGACCAAGUAGACUAGAAAGAUAAACAAAACAAGAUGGGGUCAGAAACACGACAGAAACAAAAGGCCAUGUGCUCCAGGAAAACAUGGCCUAGUCAGACCCACCAAGAUCGUUACAGUUAGAGCCACAAAUCUGUAGUCGUAACAUCCUGUUAUCUUUGGUUUCUUUGGAACGGGGAUCAUGGUGGAGCAUCUGAAAGAGGGAAGGGACUUCACACAACUCCAAAGAUCUGUGAAAAUAUGGAGGCCAGCUGGUCAGCACAGGUGUUCAAACAGGCCGGUGUCACACCGUCUAGGCCUGGUGACUUUCUUCUUUUGUUCUUCCUGAAUACUCGUCUCACAUCGUCCUCACUGAUCUGUAGUGUAAGAGGGUGGAAUGCGGAUUGCAGGAGGUGUUAACAGUUGUGUAGAGAGUUGGUCAGAACAGGUGUGUGUGUGUGGGGGGGGGGGGUGCUUGAAUUGUACAAGACUCAAGGUGUUUUUCAAUGUCAAGGAAGGAUCCUCGGAAGCCAGUAUUUCAAGGAUGCUACGUCAUCGACAUCCGUCGAAGGACUGUUCCAAUGUCGAGGAUCCUCCGAAUUUCAAACAAGGACUGAGUCCUUCGUUCGAAGAAUAUCCCAUACACAGGAAAGGAUGCAUAUGUGUAUCCUUCGCGCUCUUCGCGCUCUCAAAUUACCCACAAUCCUAUGCGCACAGCUUUGCUAUCUAACGUUAGUUCAAAAAAUCAAAAAUGUCAAACGUUAACGUAGUCGGAGCGUUAACAAUUUUUAUUUACGUUACCAAACAUUUGUUAUAACUGUAGUAAAAAUUUGUAAAGUCUGACAUUUAAAUGCCGGUACAAAUUACUACCGUAUUGAUAUUGUAAAUUAUACAAACUGAACCGGACCUGUCAUUUAACAACUGGUUGCGUCAUCGGGAUUUCUUUUAUAAAUAACUAGUUAAGUUGUCCAAAGUAAUUUAAUGAUACCAUUCACAAACGGACCUUUUCACUGACGUAAUGACGCAAUUACAUGCAAUUGCUAGCCUGUUCCAUUUACGUGUUCUCCGUAUGCUAAAGAGGAGUCUCACCUAGCCUCUGAAGGAAGUGACUUGGAAGGAUCAGUCCUACCAAGGAAGUAUCCUUGACAUUGAGAAAUGCCUUCAGUGCCCAUUUUUGUUAGCAUCCUCUUUGGCCUAACA